Molecule: long non-coding RNA, 1574 nt
Organism: Mauremys reevesii (Reeves's turtle)
Lineage: Eukaryota; Metazoa; Chordata; Testudines; Geoemydidae
Exons: 6
Source: RefSeq, a predicted model, not a curated record
GAAGAGUUGGUGUUCAAAUGAUCUUCAAAAUAUAUGUGCAGUUAAAGUCUGAAAGUCUUCUCUUCUAGGGCUCGAUCCUUCAAGGUGCAAAGCAGAAUGUGCAUUUAAGCACAGGCUUAACAUUAUUCAUGUAGAAAUACUGAAUGAGACACAUGCUUCUUUUUCUCCAGGAAGUCUUUUUGGGAAUAAGAGCCAAGAUGGCAAAAACACCGCAUUUAAAGCUGCUGUUGCUGCUGAAACUGGAUUUGGUCUCAGUAACUGCAGUUACAGAUGGAUUCAUUCAUGGAUUUAGACCCCAGGGAGCUCAGUGUCAGGAGACAGCAGCACCAUCACAAGUUGACAGAAUACAAUGCUGAAAUUGGAAAAAAGAAAAGAAAAGAAAAGAACUAUAACACAGCUAUAACCAGAGUGAAGAGUUCCCAGGCCCGGAAAGAAGACAUUUUCCAGGAGCAAAUAGAAGAAGAGACAUUUCCAAGCAAAGCUUAUAAAAAUAGCAUUUCUCACCCAAUUCUUUCAUAUAAUCAUCAAAUUUUUCACUGGAGACAAGUUUCCAGGUUCCCACAAACCGGUUACACAUUAUAUUGGCUUUGUGAGGCAGUAUCCCUCAGGAGAAAGGCAAUGAUAGCAGCAGCUCUCAGUGGGUGGCAAAAGGACUGUGUGAGCUGUGCAUGCCUCAAUAGCUUCUUUAUAAAGAUGCCCUGAACUUGUAAUUCUCAAGACUGACCAACCAGGAGAAACAACGUCAGGGGCAAGACAAUGCACACCUUGUCCAAAGCCACUUGUGUUAGUACCAAGACUCAGGGUUGCGCCUGCCACUGCUUCCUCCACUGAAUAAAGCAGAAUAAUCAGGAGGGCGUGGGGGCCAGCACAUGAGGUUACUGUUGCAGUGCCAGGAGAACAUUUCAGUGAUGCUGCUAUAAGGUCUGAGACAAUCAUGAUGCCAAGCACGGCACCACCCCACUGUGAACAUUAAUGCUGCCUUCCUCCCAACACCAGCACAUCUUCCACUGCCACCAUCAUCACUGCUAUUGUCACCCUGGUGCCAGUGAAUUAAGCUAAAGCCACACGGUGGGUCAUCUCACAAGGAUCUGAAUGUUGGGGAGGCUUGGAAUUACUUUGUCAAAGUUGCAGAAGCUAGCUGAAGCCUGCAUGCCAAGUCAGGGGAAAAAAAUCAUAGGGAAGGGUUGCAGACCAAGCUGGAUGAACAAGCAUCUCAAAUAGGGUUAUUAAGAGAAAGUAGAAAGCCUGCAAGAAAUGGAAGAUGGGAUGGAUCAGUAGGGAAAGCUACCUCUUGCAGAAACAGCAGCUCAUUCAAAGGAUUUAUAGCCAAGAAAGAAGAAUAGCAAGAAAUACCAGCACCAUCACAAGUGGAAAUAGCAUAUCUUGAAGCCCAAACCAUUUCUCCUAAGCAAAUUAAAAAGAGACAAGGAUUCUGAGCUCAGGUGAGUGGGGGAAAGAUGGUGCUACAUUUCCCUUUGUCAGAUUAAGAUCAGAAUAAAAUUCAUUUACCUCAGUGAAUUAGUAGCAGUAAACAAUAGACCGCACAGGAGCCAUGAAUGAACAGUCCAGGAAUA